Molecule: ribosomal RNA, 482 nt
Filed under: uncultured bacterium
Lineage: Bacteria
Description: bacterial SSU rRNA
Rfam family: Bacterial small subunit ribosomal RNA
Source: RNAcentral
GAUGAACGCUAGCGGCAGGCCUAAUACAUGCAAGUCGAACGGAUAUAUGUUUUUCGGAAUAUAUAUUAGUGGCGCACGGGUGAGUAACACGUACAUAACUUGCCCUCAAGCGGGGGAUAGCCUUGGGAAACUGAGAGUAAUACCCCAUAGAAUUAUUGGACGGCAUCGUUUGAUAAUUAAAACUACGGUGCUUGGGGAUAGAUGUGCGUCUGAUUAGCUAGUUGGUGAGGUAACUGCUCACCAAGGCGACAAUCAGUAGGGGGCGUGAGAGCGUGGCCCCCCACACGGGUACUGAGACACGGACCCGACUCCUACGGGAGGCAGCAGUAAGGAAUAUUGGUCAAUGGAGGGAACUCUGAACCAGCCAUGCCGCGUGAAGGAUGACGGCCCUCUGGGUUGUAAACUUCUUUUGGAUGGGGCGAAAAAACGGGAUUUAUCCUGGACUGACGGUACCAUCAGAAUAAGCACCGGCUAACUCCGUG